This 297-nucleotide ribosomal RNA is filed under the name Klebsiella michiganensis. Its description in RNAcentral is "partial 16S ribosomal RNA". It matches the Rfam family "Bacterial small subunit ribosomal RNA", at positions 1241 to 1533 of the family's 1533-position model. The record is from RNAcentral. Lineage: Bacteria; Pseudomonadati; Pseudomonadota; Gammaproteobacteria; Enterobacterales; Enterobacteriaceae.
AAAGAGAAGCGACCUCGCGAGAGCAAGCGGACCUCAUAAAGUAUGUCGUAGUCCGGAUUGGAGUCUGCAACUCGACUCCAUGAAGUCGGAAUCGCUAGUAAUCGUGGAUCAGAAUGCCACGGUGAAUACGUUCCCGGGCCUUGUACACACCGCCCGUCACACCAUGGGAGUGGGUUGCAAAAGAAGUAGGUAGCUUAACCUUCGGGAGGGCGCUUACCACUUUGUGAUUCAUGACUGGGGUGAAGUCGUAACAAGGUAACCGUAGGGGAACCUGCGGUUGGAUCACCUCCUUACCUU